GAGUUUGAUCGUGGCUCAGAUUGAACGCUGGCGGCAUGCCUUACACAUGCAAGUCGAACGGCAGCAUGAUCUAGCUUGCUAGAUUGAUGGCGAGUGGCGAACGGGUGAGUAAUACAUCGGAACGUGCCCUGUAGUGGGGGAUAACUAGUCGAAAGAUUAGCUAAUACCGCAUACGACCUGAGGGUGAAAGUGGGGGACCGCAAGGCCUCAUGCUAUAGGAGCGGCCGACGUCUGAUUAGCUAGUUGGUGGGGUAAAGGCCCACCAAGGCGACGAUCAGUAGCUGGUCUGAGAGGACGAUCAGCCACACUGGGACUGAGACACGGCCCAGACUCCUACGGGAGGCAGCAGUGGGGAAUUUUGGACAAUGGGCGAAAGCCUGAUCCAGCAAUGCCGCGUGUGUGAAGAAGGCCUCGGUUGUAAGU
Molecule: ribosomal RNA, 423 nt
Filed under: uncultured microorganism
Description: bacterial SSU rRNA
Rfam family: Bacterial small subunit ribosomal RNA
Source: RNAcentral